CCUACGGGAUGCAGCAGUGAGGAAUAUUGGUCAAUGGGCGCAAGCCUGAACCAGCAAAGUCGCGUGAGGGAUGCCGGUCCUAUGGAUUGUAAACCUCUUUUGUCGGGGAGCCAACGACGCCACUCGUGGCGUUCCGAGCGUACCCGAAGAACCAGCAUAGGCUCUCUCCGUGCCAGCACACGCGGUAAUACGGAGGCUGCGAGCUUUAUCAGGAUUUAUUGGGUUUAAAGUGUGCGCAGGCGGAAGAUCAAGUCAGCGGUAAAAUUGAGUGGCUCAACCUUUUCGAGCCGUUGAACCUGGUGUUCUUGAGGGAGCGAGAAGUAUGCGGAAUGCGGGGUGUAGCGGUGAAAUGCAGAGAUAUCACGCAGAACUCCUAUUGCGAAGGCAGCAUACCGGCGCUCAACUGACGCUCAUGCACGAAAGGGUGGGUAUCGAACAGGAGUAGAUACCCCAGUAGUC
This 459-nucleotide ribosomal RNA is filed under the name uncultured bacterium. RNAcentral describes it as "partial 16S ribosomal RNA". It matches the Rfam family "Bacterial small subunit ribosomal RNA", at positions 338 to 795 of the family's 1533-position model. The record is from RNAcentral.